Molecule: ribosomal RNA, 253 nt
Filed under: uncultured bacterium
Lineage: Bacteria
Description: partial 16S ribosomal RNA
Rfam family: Bacterial small subunit ribosomal RNA
Source: RNAcentral
UACAGAGGUGGCAAGCGUUGUUCGGAAUUACUGGGCGUAGAGGGCGCGUAGGCGGUGUGUCAAGUCAGGCGUGAAAGCCCCGGGCUCAACCUGGGAACAGCGCUUGAGACUGGCACGCUCGAGUUCGGGAGAGGAUGGUGGAAUUCCCAGUGUAGAGGUGAAAUUCGUAGAUAUCAAGCAGAACACCUGCGGCGAAGGCGGCCUUCUGGACGAUGACUGACGCUGAGACGCGAAAGCGUGGGGAGCAAACAGG